Molecule: ribosomal RNA, 483 nt
Filed under: uncultured bacterium
Lineage: Bacteria
Description: bacterial SSU rRNA
Rfam family: Bacterial small subunit ribosomal RNA
Source: RNAcentral
AGAGUUCGAUUCUGGCUCAGGAUGAACGCUGGCGGCGUGCCUAACACAUGCAAGUCGAGCGAUUCUCUUCGGAGAAGAGCGGCGGACGGGUGAGUAACGCGUGGGUAACCUGCCUCAUACACAUGGAUAACAUACCGAAAGGUAUGCUAAUACAGGAUAAUAUAAGAGAUUCACAUGAAUUUCUUAUCAAAGCUCCGGCGGUAUGAGAUGGACCCGCGUCUGAUUAGCUAGUUGGUAAGGUAAUGGCUUACCAAGGCGACGAUCAGUAGCCGACCUGAGAGGGUGAUCGGCCACAUUGGAACUGAGACACGGUCCAAACUCCUACGGGAGGCAGCAGUGGGGAAUAUUGCACAAUGGGCGAAAGCCUGAUGCAGCAACGCCGCGUGAGUGAUGAAGGCCUUCGGGUCGUAAAACUCUGUCCUCAAGGAAGAUAAUGACGGUACUUGAGGAGGAAGCCCCGGCUAACUACGUGCCAGCAGCCGC